GGUAAGUACGUGCCAGCAGGGGCGGUAAUGCGUAGGGUGCAGGCGUUAAUAGGAAAGACCGGGCGUAAAGCGAGUGUAGGCGGGUCGGAAAGAAAGAUGUGAAAGCCCAGGUCUCAACCUUGGAACUGCAUUUUUAACUGCCGAGAUAGAGUAUGUCAGAGGGGGGUAGAAUUCGAUGUGUAGCAGUGAAAUGCGUAGAUAUGGGGAGGAAUACCGAUGGCGAAGGCAGCCCCCUGGGAUAAUACUGACGCUCAGACACGAAAGCGUGGGGAGCAAACAGGAUUAGAUACCCUAGUAGUC
RNAcentral lists this ribosomal RNA (300 nucleotides) under uncultured Lactobacillus sp. RNAcentral's name for it is "bacterial SSU rRNA". It matches the Rfam family "Bacterial small subunit ribosomal RNA", at positions 496 to 795 of the family's 1533-position model. Lineage: Bacteria; Bacillati; Bacillota; Bacilli; Lactobacillales; Lactobacillaceae. The record is from RNAcentral.